RNAcentral lists this ribosomal RNA (489 nucleotides) under uncultured bacterium. RNAcentral's name for it is "partial 16S ribosomal RNA". It matches the Rfam family "Bacterial small subunit ribosomal RNA", at positions 29 to 506 of the family's 1533-position model. The record is from RNAcentral.
AGUGAACGCUGGCGGUAGGCCUAACACAUGCAAGUCGAACGGCAGCACAGUAAGAGCUUGCUCUUACGGGUGGCGAGUGGCGGACGGGUGAGGAAUACAUCGGAAUCUACUUUUUCGUGGGGGAUAACGUAGGGAAACUUACGCUAAUACCGCAUACGACCUACGGGUGAAAGCAGGGGAUCUGGACCUUGCGCGAUUGAAUGAGCCGAUGUCGGAUUAGCUAGUUGGCGGGGUAAAGGCCCACCAAGGCGACGAUCCGUAGCUGGUCUGAGAGGAUGAUCAGCCACACUGGAACUGAGACACGGUCCAGACUCCUACGGGAGGCAGCAGUGGGGAAUAUUGGACAAUGGGCGCAAGCCUGAUCCAGCCAUACCGCGUGGGUGAAGAAGGCCUUCGGGUUGUAAAGCCCUUUUGUUGGGAAAGAAAAGCAGCAGGUUAAUACCCCGCUGUUCUGACGGUACCCAAAGAAUAAGCACCGGCUAACUUCGU